Molecule: long non-coding RNA, 975 nt
Filed under: Daucus carota (carrot)
Lineage: Eukaryota; Viridiplantae; Streptophyta; Magnoliopsida; Apiales; Apiaceae
Description: long non-coding RNA (DCAR_LNC002761)
Source: RNAcentral
UGAAGCGAUGAAUAUGAACAGUAAAUUAAAGGAACUGCCGGUCUGUAACCCUCUUAACAAAAGCAACAGCAACUCAAUAUAAUAUUUAAGAGCAAAUGACUACAAAAGGAGGACUGGAAUUAAAUAAACUGAAGAGAAUGUUCAAAAUGACUACAACGGAAAUGAAAGGAAAUACACAACAAGAAAGCUGAAAUAAAUUCUUCUCCAAGCUAGCUAUUCACUCUCUCUUCCUCUGCAUAUAAAGCCUGACCACCUUUCACCUGCCACGUGUCACCGACUGAUUGGGCGUGUGAUCCCAUGAAGAUUCUACCGUUAUAGCAAGCACAUUCCAUUCACGUGCUUAGCUAUCAUAUACUGUAUUAAAUAUCAUACGACGUGGUUAUAUUAUCACAGCUGGCUACACGGUCAUAUUUUUCGGGCUACACAAUCCAAAUAUCCUGGCUAGAAAACAGAAAAAUAAAACUUAAACUUGAGGCCCUCAGUGCUCUCAUGAAUAAAAUGUCCUCCAGUCUGUCGUAGAUGAUAUAUCAGAGAUAAGAGAUACGAGAAUUCACAGGAAAGUAGGAAACCGGAAUGGGAGCUUUGCUUUUCGACUUGUGGUUUGAUGAUAAACAAUUAGGCUUAUCUUUCACAUUUUCUUUAUCGUUUACUCGCGCAGAAGAUGAGGGGCUAAAACAACCCAGCAUGCCUGAGAAAAUACCCAUUUUACGUCAAAAAAACUAAGUAUGUGUACUUGUAUAGAUAGAUUGUUUUAUACCAGUAGGCAGUAGCAGUUAAGAAAGCGAGAAAGAAGAAGGCUUAUAUUUUCAACUUGGUGUUUGAGAAUCUCUCUUUUAUAGGCAUUUCGUAGCUUCACGGAAGUAUCUUCGCAUUUGGCCCAUUACGUCAUAAAUAUUAACAAUUUUGUUAAUAAAUAAUUAAAUACCUGCAUAUGUUGAAGCAAUCACAUGUUGUAUGAUGAUGAGUUGAACUUGC